This 1434-nucleotide ribosomal RNA is filed under the name Triticum aestivum (bread wheat). RNAcentral's name for it is "partial small subunit ribosomal RNA". The record is from RNAcentral. Lineage: Eukaryota; Viridiplantae; Streptophyta; Magnoliopsida; Poales; Poaceae.
AUGUCCCAACCAAUCGAGUCUACAUAUCUCGGGAUGUUGUUUUUGAUGAGACCGUCUUCCCCUUUUCUGCCAUGCCUCAGUCAUCCACCACAACACCUUCUAUGCAUUCAUCUCCUCUUAUGCCUGGCCAAUUUGAAGAUGUUGCAUAUUCGCCUGUGUUGUUACCUAAUCAUGGUGCAGGAAUUGGACGUGGAGCUCGCCUGGAACUCCUCCCUGACGGACCCGCUACGUCGCCUGUGGUGCACGUCGAUCGGCCGGUGCAUGCGACAGCCACCUGGAUUUGUUGAUCACACUCAGCCUCAUCAUCUCUGUCAUCUGACGAAGGCCAUAUAUGGACUGAAGCAGGCUCCCCGUGCCUGGCAUGCUCGCCUGGCUUCAGCUCUACGCACUCAUGGGUUCAUUCCUUCGACGACUGAUACUUCACUAUUCUUGUUUCAGCGACCGAGUGUGACCAUGUACCUCCUUGUGUAUGUGGAUGAUAUUGUCCUGGUGAGCUCAUCCCCGACGGCUGCUGAUGCUCUUGUGACUGCACUUGGUCGUGAUUUUGCAGUUAAGGAUUUGGGACAACUUCAUUUCUUCCUGGGUAUUGAGGUCGCUCAUCAGUCUCGUGGCAGUUUGGCUCUCACCCAGAAGAAGUACUCUCUUGAUCUCUUGCGCCGUGCUGGUAUGCUCAAGUGCAAGCCAUCGCCUACGCCCAUGUCCUCCACUGACACCCUUUCUGCUGCUGAUGGUGCUCUUCUCUCUCCUGAGGAUGCUACUGAGUACAGGAGUAUUGUUGGUGGCCUGCAGUAUCUGACGAUCACGCGGCCUGAUCUCUCAUUUGCGGUUAACAGGGUGUGCCAGUAUCUUCAUGCUCCCACUGAUGUACACUGGUCUGCUGUGAAGCGCAUACUGCGUUAUGUGCGUCUCACUGUCUCCUUUGGUCUUCACCUGCGCCCCAGUUCCUCCGGAGUUCUUUCUGCAUUCUCUGAUGCUGAUUGGGCUGGGUGUCCAGAUGACAGGCGAUCCACGGGGGGACAUGUUGUGUUCUUGGGUCCUAAUCUGAUCGCCUGGAGUGCACGCAAGCAAGCCACUGUUUCCCGCGGCAGCACAGAAGCUGAGUACAAGUCGGUUGCCAAUGCAACUGCUGAACUUAUAUGGAUUGAGUCCCUACUUCGAGAGCUAGGAGUUGCUCAGCCACAUCCUUCGGUCCUUUGGUGUGACAACAUUGGUGCUACGUUUCUAUCGUCAAAACCGGUGUUCCAUGCGCGGACUAAACACAUUGAGAUUGACUAUCAUUUUGUGAGGGAACGUGUUGCACAGAAGCUACUACAAGUCAGGUUUAUCUCUUCAAAAGAUCAACUUGCGGACAUCUUCACCAAGCCUCUACCUUCUCCCAUGUUUGAGGUCUGUAGGCGCAAUCUCAACCUCCUAGAUACUUCAGGAGUGAGUUGA